AUGAUGCAUGGAAUUUGUAUCUGUGUGUUGCCAUGCCGACACCGUGCACAGAUUGCUCAAGAUUCAGCAGGACUUGGCAGGGACCUUUUUGCUUCCCAGAGACUCAAUGACAGGCCUGGAGAAACUGGUGGUGAACAGAUAAAGACUUCUCUUGAGAACUGGGAUCCAUGGCCUGACUGGUAUGGCUGUAAGAGUCAACAGCAAAACUCCACUGGCUUCACUCUUGCACUGCUGAACGCAAAUAAAGGAGAUGCUGGAAGGGGGAAAGGAGUGACACCCAAGAUCAUGGACACCAUCAGCUGUCACCAGGAGGAGAGAGCCCCAGCUUUGCCCAGGACGGGAUGUCCUGGACUGUUGUGGGACUUCCUGACCUCAGCUGGUUUCCACAAAGUGUCAGCAGUCAAUGGAGUCAGUAUUUCCACAGCAGAGCAGCACCAGCUUCUCAGCAAACACAUCUGGUCCCAUGCUUGUGGCAGUGGCAAUGGUGUAUGCUUCCAGAGAAGUUGCUUUCAUCAUUUCAAAGUUUUUCAUCCAUGUAUCAUAAUAGAUGUGUCUCCAUUGCAUGGCAGAUGUUUUUCCCACUUUGUGUUGCAAUCCUAG
RNAcentral lists this long non-coding RNA (600 nucleotides) under Anser cygnoides (Swan goose). RNAcentral's name for it is "lncRNA (ENSACDG00005003419.1)". Lineage: Eukaryota; Metazoa; Chordata; Aves; Anseriformes; Anatidae. The record is from RNAcentral.